Long non-coding RNA from Vulpes vulpes (red fox), 1252 nucleotides. NCBI's taxonomy places the organism in Eukaryota, Metazoa, Chordata, Mammalia, Carnivora, Canidae. The record is from Ensembl.
UCAAGCCCAGGUACUACUAAGAAUGUCAUCAAAAACUUUAUUGUGGGGAUCCCUGGGUGGCGCAGCGGUUUGGCGCCUGCCUUUGGCCCAGGGCGCCAUCCGGGAGACCCUGGAUCGAAUCCCACGUCGGGCUCCCGGUGCAUGGAGCCUGCUUCUCCCUCUGCCUGUGUCUCUGCCUCUCUCUCUCUCUCUGUGACUAUCAUAAAAAAAAAUUAAAAAAAAACUUUAUUGUGUGCAUAGUUACAUGUAGAAAGAAAACCUAUAAACCACUUAAAACUAUGGAUAACUGUAGAUCUUGAACUUGGUUCCUUAUGAUUCUUCAAAAUGAGUAUUAUGAGGGAAAGGAUUUUGUAUCUUGGACAAAAAUAGUUUUGGAGACCUAUAAAUGUUUCCCAUUGAUGUCAACAUAUCACACAGGCAGGUAGCAUAUCUCUAUCUGGCCCCACAAUUAUUUGACAACAUUUUUGUCACAGCAGAGGAUCUCAGAUGGUACAGUGGUGUUUGUAUCCCAUCAGCAGCCAAAAGCCAGGAGUUGUCUGCCAAAGUUGUAAGCGCAUGUAUGCUGUGUAUGCUGUGGCGUAGCUGACAGCGGCCUCAAGGAGUAUGUCAUAGGAAAUUCUAAGGACGAUGAAGCCAGACUCCACUCUGCAUGGAUCCACAGCAGUUUAGGGGUACGACCUGUCUGAUCCUGGCAUAACUCCCAGAGAUGGUACUUCCACCUUGCCCAGAGCAAGAGCUCCAUGGAGAAUGGCCAUAAAGAGUCACUCUGAAGCAGAUGAAAUCUCAGCAUGAGAGAGAGAUGAGUGUUCUAGUUGAAGUGAGGGCCAUGUUCCAGGAGACACAUCAGCUCUGCCCUUUCAGCUUCCACUAUACCUUUUCCAGGAGAACUUGGAUCAUUUCCACAUCAAGAAAUGCAGUUUGGAAACCCACUGGACCAGGAAAGCAAAGACACAGUCAUGAUGCAAAUACCCCAAGAGAUGUAAAAUGUCAACAAAAGGCACAAUAUAAGAAGGGAAUGAAUAAAGGCAGAGUCUGGACCCUAGUUCCCACUCUACUACUCUUUCUUUUUAGGAAACAUUUGCUGAUGCCUGGUCCCGGAGCUGCAUUUCUCAAGCUUUAAUAUCCAUGAGAGAGUUGACAAGGCAAUGAACAUAAAAAUCAGAAGGUCUCGCUCUCCUUGAGGCACAAGAGUGGAAGAGAUAAGGGCACAGUGCAUUCGUAAGAGGUGGUGUCAUGAUGCAUGAGAAAGAAU